GAUGAACGCUGGCGGCGUGCCUAAUACAUGCGAGUCGAGCGAACGGACGAGAAGCUUGCUUCUCUGAUGUUAGCGGCGGACGGGUGAGUAACACGUGGAUAACCUACCUAUAAGACUGGGAUAACUUCGGAAAACCGGAGCUAAUACCGGAUGAUAUUUUGAACCGCAUGGUUCAAAAGUGAAAGACGGUCUUGGUGUCACUUAUAGCUGGAUCCGCGCUGCAUUAGCUAGUUGGUAAGGUAACGGCUUACCAAGGCAACGAUGCAUAGCCGACCUGAGAGGGUGAUCGGCCACACUGGAACUGAGACACGGUCCAGACUCCUACGGGAGGCAGCAGUAGGGAAUCUUCCGCAAUGGGCGAAAGCCUGACGGAGCAACGCCGCGUGAGUGAUGAAGGUCUUCGGAUCGUAAAACUCUGUUAUUAGGGAAGAACAUAUGUGGAAGUAACUGUGCACAUCUUGACGGUACCUAAUCAGAAAGCCACGGCUAACUACGUG
RNAcentral lists this ribosomal RNA (497 nucleotides) under uncultured bacterium. RNAcentral's name for it is "partial 16S ribosomal RNA". It matches the Rfam family "Bacterial small subunit ribosomal RNA", at positions 28 to 507 of the family's 1533-position model. The record is from RNAcentral.